CACUUAACUUUCUUAUCUUGCCUCCUCCCAUCAGGGCAUUUUAAAAAACAAAACGCCAAACACCCUGUUACUGGAUAUCCUGCAGUUGAGAUUGUCAGAUUUUGCAAAUGAAAACACAGAACACGGACAGUUAGAUUUGAAUUUCAGAUAAACAAUGACCGUCCCAUGCAAAUCUGGGACAUGCUUAUACUAAAAAAUGAUUCGUUAUGUAUCUGACAUUCAAAUCUAACCGUGCCCUGUAUUUUGUCUGGCAGCCGUACCUUCUGGGUGCUGAGCGGCUCGGAUGCUGGAGGCUCAGGGAUGCUGGAGGGACCCAUUCUGCUUAGCCCUGGAGGGACUGGUUCUGCUCACACCACUCCUGGUACUGAGCGCUUCUUCUCCGUGGCCACGAACCUCUCCAACCUGCCAGCCCUCCCCAAGGUUCCUAAACGCGGAUGUAUGUAAGGAUUACCCGCAGAGAGGCGGGUACAGCGUGGGCUGGGAAGGCCUUGGAUUCUGCAUUCGAACAACCCCAGGGGGAUUCCAGGCAGACCAGCAGCCUCCUUAAGCGCUCAUCCCCAAGAUCCCCCCACGUGGACCAGCUCUGGAGUGGAGGUGGAAAGAAGAAGGGGGGGUUACCUCUACACCUCCACACCCCGGCCCAUCCUCCUCCUUCCUCCCUCCUUUAGGGAGAUGCCCACCCCUUUCCGGGAUUGGAAGUCUGGGGGGGACACCUCCCCAGGGAGCCCCGGGCUGGAGGCAGUGUCUGGAGGCAGCAUCUCUUCAUCCGCCCACUGAGACCACUGAAGCGGCGGGUGGAGGGGUCUUGCGCUCUGCCAGCCACCCUCCUGCCCUGUGCCUGCCCUCAGGCACGUGUGCUCCGACCGCUGGGAGUCUCAGCUUGGAGGGCAGGGCAGGGGGACCUUCAACAGGUUGGAAAACAAGUAGCCAAACAGCCCAGCUCGGACUGAAGGUCGGCCUGGAGUUGGGGACGCAGGGGACUGGUCCUUGGGGUCUGGGACCACUUGUCUCAGAGGAGCUGCCGCAGCCUGAGGCUUUGACUCCAGGGCCCUGAGGCGGGCCUGCGUGUCCCCUGCAGGGAGAGCCGGAGCGCUUGGCAGGAGCACCUUGGCUGCUCGACUGGGAAAUGCAUUCUGGAGGGUGGGUAGGGGAGGCCGAUGCAGCCAACACUGCAGCCACCUGGUCUGGGAGGGUGGUGGCUAUGACCGGGUGCAGGUGGAGAGGGUGCAGGGGUGGGUACCUGUGCAGGAUUUACUGACGCGAAGUGGAGAGAAACCCGGGAUGACAGCGUCAUGCUCCAGGCGUGCGCAGAGGGGAAGUGAGAGCGCAGGACCAGUGUGGGUGUCUUGGGCGCCAUGAGGAAGUACCCGCUACUUGGGGCAGAGGACGGGCCGACGUUGCCACAGGAGGGAUUUGGGUGGGAUCAGGGGAAGGCCGUGUAUCCCAUGGUUCUAGAAGUCGGGGCCCGGGUGCACAGGGUGUCUUCUUGCCAAGUCUCUUCUGACUGCUGGGGUCUUGAGUGCGUCAGUGAGAAGCUCCCCUUUGCCCCACGUAAACUGAGUGAAGACUGAGACACAAGGCUCUGAGAGGCGGGAGCAAGGCGGCAGCGGGUCAGAGGCACGCGGGCUGAGAAGACGCCUCGGCUUGCUGCUGACUUCCCACUGCGUCAACAGCUGAGCCCUGGGGUACGGGCACCCCUUGCUCGGGUUAAUGCUCUGCUGUCGCUGUCUUGGAAUUUUUAAGAAUCUUUGAACAAGGGCCCCCCCGCAUUUUCUUUUUGUACUGGGACCCACAAAUCACUCACGCAGCAGCUCCUGCUCUGGGAGCUGCCCCUGUUUCCGGGCCUGGAGCACCGAGGCUCCCAAGUACUCUGUGCAGCUGGUGAUUCCACUGCGGGACGGGGAGGCUGAGGCAGGCAUGUUCCUCUCUUUCCUCCAGACUCACCAGUCAGACUGCUCACCGGGGUGGAGGCAGGCCCUGGGCUAGGAGCGCUACCCCAGGGAAGGCCGUCCAGUGGAGAGUGGGGCAGGAGCACCCCUGACACCACUGUGCCUUCAUGAAGGCCACCAGGAGAAGGCACACAGAGCCCUGAGGGAUCGGGAGCCGGGGCGCAGGGGGAGGAAGCAGAAGCUGAGGCCUGUCACCGCCCUUUGGGCUUCGAGCCCUUUCCUUUAGGACUGUGGGGUCCCUGUCACCACCCUAUUUAACAGAAAGGAAAACAGAUGCUCAGAGGUCUGAAGUUUCAGACCCCAGACGCAGGCGCCAGGCUGGCUGUCUUGGGAGCCUGGCGUUCUGGUUCAGGUAGAAACACGAGGAUCCUGCUCCUUGAGGGUCCUUGUUGGGUCAGCCUGGGAUGGGGUCUGAGGUCUAUAUUUUUAAAAACUCCCUGGGACUUCCUACGACCUUUGCCCAAGGUCACAGCUGGAAAACAGCAAUGUCAGAGUUUGGACCCAGGGCUGUUGGUUCCAGCUCCACAUAUGCAGCUGCCCUGAAGCAGGGCUCGGAUGACCCGGGGGAGGGACUUCGGGGGGGGGGGACACUCAUUACUAAGUCUCAGUUUUUCCCCUUAAUUCUCACCACGCCCCCGCGAGGUAGGUGUCCUGCUCCCGUUUCACAGACAGACAGGUGGAGGCCUUGAGACGUCGGCGGCGUGGCCGGUGCUGCAGUGGCGCUGGGGACUGGAGGGAGCUUUCUGCCUGGGCUGCGAAUCACCAGGAGCUUUAAAAUAACGCCUUGCUGGGGCUCCGCCAGACUAGUUGCAUCGGAAUCUGUGCUUUUCACACAAAAUUGCUGGGGGUUCUGCUGCACAGGCAGGGCCGUGAACCGUGAUUUGGAGGAACUAGAGAGACGGAUUCCCCACCUGCCGGGGAGGGGAGGCCGGGGACAAUCUCAGUGGCCCCAGGUGACCUGCCAGGCUGGGCCUCUCUUGGCUCCUAGUGGCCGCAGGCCUGCAAUUUCCGCACGACCUCUCUUCUUCGGUUUGCAGCGAGAUACCUGGGAAAAGCUGGAGGACCUCUGCCCUGGAGCAAUUUGGGGCCCAGGGUGGAGCUGAUGCAGUCUCCUCUCUCUCAGGACACACACGCCGGUCCCAUCCAUGUCCUGGCUGCGGUGACCUUCACCAAGCGCCCCCAAGCCCUGGAUGCUGUGCUGUGGGGGGACACAGAGUCUGGAAGACCCCGAGCAUUGAGGCCCACUUGUAACUAAAAUCCCGAAUCCCGCUCGGCAGUGCUGCGGCACCUGCUGCAACGACCUCCCUGGGUGGGGGUGGCAGGCCCUGGUCUGUGACCUGUGACCUAGGGGAGUUCUCAGCCUCACUGGGCCGCAGAGCCACCAUCCACCAUCUUGUCCUAAACCACGUACUUUGGGAACUCAGCGCUUCUGCAGGCACCACCCCAGGGACUUCCUCCUGCCAGGCCCCUGCUGGCCCCCUGGGGUUUGGGGGCCUCCAGUGCCCCUCCACACCACCAGCCAGGCACACAGGGACUUUCGAUCUCUCUGUGAGUUUUCUCCGAGCUGGGCGGCCCGGAGCAGCUGGGUGCGUGCUGGGGAGGGCACAGGAGGGACACUGCACAGGCUUCAGCCAGGCCCCACUUCUGUCCACCCCUCGACUUUACCAGUAGCCCAGGGCGCCCCCCACAGACCCCAGAGUCAUGGCCUCUGGGGAGAGAGGUCGUCAGCUUUGAGCUUGACCCUCGGCAGAAGUCUCAUAGGACAACUGCUCAGGCCAGGAGGUGGCCGCAGGAAACGCCUGGCUUGUGACCCAGUGAACUCAGACGCUGCGGUCCCCAACACACAGUCCUUCCUCGCGCAUGAAGGGUGUGUCCCCAAUGGGACCUCCCUCACGGGGGCCGCCAGCCUGGCCCGCAGAGACUCAGGCUCAUGCAGGCGAGGUCUGCCCCACUCGCCAGCUCAGCGGGUCUGUUUCAAAGCUUGGGAGGUUCUGCUCUGUGACCCUGGGAACCUCAGCCUGCCUGGCCUCCUCGCCCUGGCCUGGAUGCAUCCCCUUCGUCCCCCGAUGGCAAGUUACAAGGGGGGGGGAGCUGCUCUUGGCCUCGGGCCAGCCUGGCUUCCGAGUACCUCCCCCUAGGCUGGAUCUAGUCCCUGUGGGCUGGGAGUCAGAGCAGACCUGGCCUCCAUCAGCUUCCUGCUCCCUCGGAGAAGCUGCUCACCCUCCCGAGCUCUGGUUUUCUCCAGCUGCGUGGUGGAAAGGAUGCUCCCGGGCAGCGACUAAGGGAUGAGAUGCCCGAGAGUGUGCGGAAGCUCACAGCACAGUCCCGGCACAGGUAGGCGCUCAACCGGCACUUAAUGAACAUUUGCAGACUCUGCCAGUGUCUGUAUCAGAUAAACGCGUGAUUACUAAGUGCGACCCAGGCUGUGACAGGACUGUGGGGCCCUACUGGGCGGGUCGGCUGGUCAGGAAGGGCCUCUGAAGACGUGGAACGUGCGCUGAUGCCUGAGGGACGGAGGCCAGCUUGUCCUGUGUGCCAAGGCCGGGACGAGGGCCGCAUGCCUGGCCAGCGUGGAGAGGAGGGAGCGUGUGGGGUGGGACCUGGAGGCCGAGGUAUGGAAUUGCAUUUUGUUCUAAAGGCCACAGACACCACUGGGAGUCUGCAGGAGGAUGCUCCCGGCGCCCUGCGGGGUAAAAAGCCCCUCUCCUGCUGGGGUGGGCAGAAUGGGAUGGAGGCUGGGAGGGGAGGCACGAGGCUGGGCAGGGCUCCAGGACACAGUGGUCACACAAGGACGGGGCGGGUGGACAGAGGUGGACAGAGGCCAGCUUUAGCAAUGGCUCUGAUGAAGGGGCAGAAGAGGGGCAAGCUCCAGAGCCUGGCUGAGCAUCCGGGCGGAUGGAGCCACUUUGCUGGGAUGGAAGCCCCUGAGGGGCAGGCUGAGUGGGGGGCCCCACAGGGUGUGCGAUGCACUGAGGCUCCGCAGGGCACCACGGGAAGCUGACGCGGCUCAGAAGCCAGAGAUGGACAUGAGCUCUUUCCUGUUCUUUAAGUCCUGGCUCCUCUUGAUUCCUGCCCAAGGUCGGGGAGCCCAAAGGAGCCCACUCAGCACCCACACACCUGCAGCCCCUAAGUAUACCCUCAGAGUCACCCUCAACCAGCGGGAGCCUGCGAUGAACAAAUGCUUCUCCCUUUCAUGCUCCGGAGGCGCCCAGGGCCAGGCACCAGUAGCACAUAGCGACAGCCACUCCACAAGACAUCCUCACGCUGGUUCACCCCCUUCCCUGCCACCCGCUCUCUCCUCCUUACUCCUCUCCCUGGGGUCGCUUUUCCAAACAAACCACCUGCAAAUCAAGCCAGUCCUGUCUCAGGCUUUGCUUUUGGGAUAGCCCAGGAGAAGCCGUAACCUUGAAUUUUGUGCUGUGCUUUGGUCACUGAGGGCUGGAGGCAGCUGGGAGCAGACGGAGGGCAAUGCGGUUGAGGAAUCCCGAUCCGGGAUGGGGGCAGAGGUGUUGGGGCAGGCAGACAGAGGGCCGAACUGGAGCUCAGUGCGGUCCAGAGGGAAUUUUGAUUGGUUUCAUUUAUUUUUUGUUUAUUCAUCUUUGGAAUCGACCUUUUCAUGUUAAGAUCCUUGUAGAUUCACAUGGUAUUGUAAGAAGUAACACACAGAGAUCCCGUGUGCCCUCUGCCCAGCGUCCCCCAGUGGUAACAUCUUGUAAAACUACAGCACAGCAUCGCAACCAGAAUCUCGACACUGAUGCAAGGCGCCCGUCUACGGACACGUCCCCAGUUUGGCUUGUCCGCACAUGCGUGUGUGUAUUUAGUCUGUAUAAUUCUAUUGCCUGUGUAGGGUCCUCCAGCACCACAGCCCAGAUACUGACCUGUUCCAUCACCUCAACAAUCUCUUUUGUUCUCCUUUUGUAACCACACCCACCUCCCGCCCUCCUCUGCCUCCAACCCCCCGACCGCCACCCAGACCCACUAACUGCUCUCCGUUUCUAGAAUUUCGUCAUUUCAAGAAUGUUAUAUAAAUAGGAUCACACACCGCGUGACGUUUUGGGACUGGCUUUUUUCACUCAAAACAAUUCCCGGCAGAUUAAUCCAAGUUGUUGUGUGUGUCAACGAUCCAUUUUAUUGCUGAGUAGUAUUCCAUGGUGUGGAUGUGCCAUUUAACCUUUCACCCAUUGAAGGUCAUCUGGGUGUUUCCGAUUUUUGGCUAUUAGAAGAAGGCUGCUACGCACAUUCGGGAGCAGACUCCUGUGAGAACGCAAGCCUGCCUCUCCCUGGGAUAAAUGCUGGAGAACGCAACUGCUGAGUCAUGUGCUAAUUGCAUGUUUAGUCUCGUCAGAAACGGCCGAACUGUUUGACAGAGGGGCUGUGCCACUUCUCCUCCCCGCUGGCGCUGUGGGAGGGAUCCGGGUUCUCUGCAUCCGCGCCAGAAUUUGGUGUGGUCACUAUUUUUCAUUUCCGCCCUUCUGAUAGGUGUGCAGUGAUAUCUCAUCAUGGUUUUAAUUCGCAUCUGCCUAUCGGCUCCCGAUGCGGGCUGUCCUUUCCCGUGUUUCUUUGCAUUUGUAUGUCCUCCUCAGGGAAAGGUCAUUGUUGAAUUUGAAGCAAGUUUCUUGUAAACAGCAUAUCCUUGGGUCAUUUUAAAAACUGAACUCUGCC
This is a long non-coding RNA of Equus caballus (horse), 6611 nucleotides long. The record is from Ensembl. Lineage: Eukaryota; Metazoa; Chordata; Mammalia; Perissodactyla; Equidae.